UACGGGGGGGGCAAGCGUUGUUCGGAAUUACUGGGCGUAAAGGGCGCGUAGGCGGGCUGGCAAGUCUGUCGUGAAAGCCCGCGGCUCAACCAGGGAAUUGCGGUCGAUACUGUCUGGCUAGAGUCCGGGAGAGGAAGGGGGAAUUCCCGGUGUAGAAGUGAAAUGCGUAGAUAUUGGGAGGAACACCAGCGGCGAAGGCGGCCCUCUGGACGGGGACUGACGCUGAGACGCGAAAGCGUGGGGAGCAACCAGG
This 253-nucleotide ribosomal RNA is filed under the name uncultured bacterium. Its description in RNAcentral is "partial 16S ribosomal RNA". It matches the Rfam family "Bacterial small subunit ribosomal RNA", at positions 524 to 776 of the family's 1533-position model. The record is from RNAcentral.